This 1423-nucleotide ribosomal RNA is filed under the name uncultured Oscillospiraceae bacterium. RNAcentral describes it as "bacterial SSU rRNA". It matches the Rfam family "Bacterial small subunit ribosomal RNA". Lineage: Bacteria; Bacillati; Bacillota; Clostridia; Eubacteriales; Oscillospiraceae. The record is from RNAcentral.
UAACACAUGCAAGUCGAACGGACCUAGCCCGGUAGUAAUAUUGGGCGACGGUUAGUGGCGAACGGGUGAGUAACGCGUGAGCAACCUGCCUUUCAGAGGGGGAUAACAACUGGAAACAGUUGCUAAUACCGCAUAAUGUAUUUAGAUGGCAUCAUUUGGAUACCAAAGGUUAAAUCCGCUGAGAGAUGGGCUCACGUCUGAUUAGCUAGAUGGUAGGGUAAGGGCCUACCAUGGCUGCGAUCAGUAGCCGGUCUGAGAGGAUGAACGGCCACAUUGGGACUGAGACACGGCCCAGACUCCUACGGGAGGCAGCAGUGGGGAUAUUGGGCAAUGGGCGCAAGCUGACCCAGCAACGCCGCGUGAAGGAUAAGGCCUUCGGGUUGUAAACUUCUUUUAUUAGGGACGAAGGAUGUGACGGUACUAAUGAUAAGCACGGCUAACUACGUGCAGCAGCCGCGGUAUACGUAGUGGCAGCGUGUCCGGAUUUACUGGGUGUAAAGGGCGCGUAGGCGGGAAUGCAAGUCAGAUGUGAAAUCCAUGGGCUCAACCCAUGAACUGCAUUUGAAACUGUGUUUCUUGAGUGAUGGAGAGGCAGGCGGAAUUCCUAGUGUAGCGGUGAAAUGCGUAGAUAUUAGGAGGAACACCAGUGGCGAAGGCGGCCUGCUGGACAUCAACCGACGCUGAUGCGCGAAAGCGCGGGGAGCAAACAGGAUUAGAUACCCUGGUAGUCCGCGCCGUAAACGAUGAAUACUAGGUGUGGGGGGACUGACCCCUUCCGUGCCGGAGCAAACGCAAUAAGUAUUCCACCUGGGGACUACGGUCGCAAGACUAAAACUCAAAGGAAUUGACGGGGGCCCACACAAGCAGUGGAUUAUGUGGUUUAAUUUCGAAAGCAAACGCGAAAGAACCCUUACCCGGGGGUUUGACAUCCGACUAAACGAAGCAGAGAUGCAUUAGGUGCCCUUCGGGGAAAGUCGAGACAGGUGGUGCAUGGUUGUCGUCAGCUCGUGUCGUGAGAUGUUGGGUUAAGUCCCGCAACGAGCGCAACCCUUGUUGUUAGUUGCUACGUAAGAGCACUCUAACGAGACUGCCGUUGACAAAACGGAGGAAGGUGGGGACGACGUCAAAUCAUCAUGCCCCUUAUAUCCCGGGCUACACACGUAAUACAAUGGCGUUUAACAACGGGAAGCGAAGGAGCGAUCCGGAGCGAAUCCCCAAAAGGCGUCUCAGUUCGGAUUGCAGGCUGCAACUCGCCUGCAUGAAGUAGGAAUUGCUAGUAAUCGCGGAUCAGCAUGCCGCGGUGAAUACGUUCCCGGGCCUUGUACACACCGCCCGUCACACCAUGAGAGUCGGGAACACCCGAAGUCGGUAGUCUAACCUGAUAAGGAGGGCGCCGCCGAAGGUGGGCUUGAUAAUUAGGGUG